RNAcentral lists this ribosomal RNA (497 nucleotides) under uncultured bacterium. RNAcentral's name for it is "partial 16S ribosomal RNA". It matches the Rfam family "Bacterial small subunit ribosomal RNA", at positions 28 to 507 of the family's 1533-position model. The record is from RNAcentral.
GAUGAACGCUGGCGGCGUGCCUAAUACAUGCAAGUCGAGCGAACGGACGAGGAGCUUGCUUCUCUGAUGUUAGCGGCGGGCGGGUGAGUAACACGUGGAUAACCUACCUAUAAGACUGGGGAAACUUCGGGAAACCGGAGCUAAUACCGGAUAAUAUUUUGAACCGCAUGGUUCAAAAGUGAAAGACGGUCUUGCUGUCACUUAUAGAUGGAUCCGCGCUGCAUUAGCUAGUUGGUAAGGUAACGGCCUACCAAGGCCACUAUGCAUAGCCGAACUGCGAGGGGGAUCGGCCACACUAGAGCGGAGACACGGACCAUGCUCCUACGGGAGGCAGCAGUAGGGUAUCUUCCGCAAUGGGCGAAAGCCUGACGGAGCAACGCCGCGUGAGUGGUGAAGGUCUUCGGAUCGUAAAACUCUGUUAUUAGGGAAGAACAUAUGUGUAAGUAACUGUGCACAUCUUGACGGUACCUAAUCAGAAAGCCACGGCUAACUACGUG